AUUGAACGCUGGCGGCAUGCCUAACACAUGCAAGUCGAACGGCAGCAUGGCUUGUAGCGAUACAAGCUGAUGGCGAGUGGCGGCGGGGUGAGGAACGAGUAGGAAUCUGCCCUGCAGAGGGGGACAACCCGGGGAAAGCCGGGCUAAUACCGCGCAGAACCCUGCGGAGGAAAGCCAGUGGCCACAUUGGCGCUAUGGGAGGAGCCUGCGUCCGAUUAGCUAGUUGGUGGGGUAAGAGCUCACCAAGGCGAUGAGCGGUAGCUGGUCUGAGAGGAUGACCAGCCACACUGGGACUGAGACACGGCCCAGACUCCUACGGGAGGCAGCAGUGGGGAAUAUUGGACAAUGGGGGCAACCCUGGUCCAGCAAUGCCGCGUGUGUGAAGAAGGCCUUCGGGUUGUAAAGCACUUUAGGCGGGGAAGAAGAUAUGGUGAUGAAUCAUAUUUGACGGUACCCGCAGAAUCAGCACCGGCUACCUCUGUGCCAGCAGCCGCCGUAA
RNAcentral lists this ribosomal RNA (499 nucleotides) under uncultured bacterium. RNAcentral describes it as "partial 16S ribosomal RNA". It matches the Rfam family "Bacterial small subunit ribosomal RNA", at positions 29 to 523 of the family's 1533-position model. The record is from RNAcentral.